CGCCCAGACUCCUACGGGAGGCAGCAGUGGGGAAUAUUGCGCAAUGGUGGAAACCCUGACGCAGCAACGCCGCGUGAGUGAAGACGUAUCUCGGUAUGUAAAUCUCUAUCAGCGGGGAAGAAGGAAGACGGUACCCGACUAAGAAGCCCCGGCUAACUACGUGCCAGCAGCCGCGGUAAUACGGAGGGUGCAAGCGUUACUCGGAAUCACUGGGCGUAAAGAGCGCGUAGGCGGGAUAGCAAGUCAGAUGUGAAAUCCUAUGGCUUAACCAUAGAACUGCAUUUGAAACUGUUAUUCUAGAGUAUGGGAGAGGUAGGUGGAAUUCUUGGUGUAGGGGUAAAAUCCGUAGAGAUCAAGAGGAAUACUCAUUGCGAAGGCGACCUGCUAGAACAUAACUGACGCUGAUGCGCGAAAGCGUGGGGAGCAAACAGGAUUAGAUACCCGAGUAA
RNAcentral lists this ribosomal RNA (449 nucleotides) under uncultured bacterium. RNAcentral's name for it is "partial 16S ribosomal RNA". It matches the Rfam family "Bacterial small subunit ribosomal RNA", at positions 328 to 793 of the family's 1533-position model. The record is from RNAcentral.